RNAcentral lists this unclassified non-coding RNA (279 nucleotides) under plant metagenome. RNAcentral describes it as "partial contains small subunit ribosomal RNA, internal transcribed spacer 1, and 5.8S ribosomal RNA". The stretch from base 1 to 54 matches the Rfam family "Eukaryotic small subunit ribosomal RNA", at positions 1778 to 1831 of the family's 1831-position model. The record is from RNAcentral.
GGAAGUAGAAGUCGUAACAAGGUUUCCGUAGGUGAACCUGCGGAAGGAUCAUUAACGAGUUAGGGUCUUCUAGGCCCGACCUCCCAACCCUUUGUUUACUGAACCAUUGUUGCCUCGGUGGGUCCGUCUUACGACCGCCGGGGGAUCGCCGCGAGGCGCCCCCUGGCCAGCGCCCACCGAUAGCCCAACCUUUAAAACCCUUUGUGAAUCGUGUCUUAUGUCUAAAUUUAUGAUUAAACAAUCAAAACAAAACUUUCAACAACGGAUCUCUUGGUUCUG